AAUUGCCAUUGUGACUGCAAGGCUGGAGUGCGGCAGAGGGGGAUGGAAUUCCGCGUGUAGCAGUGAAAUGCGUAGAUAUGCGGAGGAACACCGAUGGCGAAGGCAAUCCCCUGGGCCUGCACUGACGCUCAUGCACGAAAGCGUGGGGAGCAAACAGGAUUAGAUACCCUGGUAGUCCACGCCCUAAACGAUGUCAACUGGUUGUUGGGAAUACACUGUCAUCGUCUGAGCGAAAGCAUUAAGUGACCCACCUGGGGAGUACGACCGCGAGGUUGCAACUCAAAGUAAUUGACGGGCGCCCGCACAGGCGGAGGAGCUUGUGUUUUAUUACGAUGAUACGCGAAGCAUCUUUCGUGUCAAAGAUGGGAAGACGUUUCUUAAAGACAGCAUACCUUUCUUCGCUUUUUAUUAAGAGCUGCUGCGUUGUUGUCCGCUCUUGUGUCGGGGGGUGUCGUUAAUAUCCCACAACAGGCGCACCCCCUAUUAUUAGUUGCCCCCCAGUUAAAAGUGGGGGCCACUCUUGGAACGCCCUCCCCCCGAUUUGUCAAAAAAUUUUUAUAUCAUAAAAAAUGAACGGGUCUUUUAUCCAGGGUUUACACAUGUUUAAAAGUGCGCGGAACAAGGGACAUUUACUUGUGGACGGGGCCGCUAUUCUGAAAAGCGGUCUCUGUUGGGAUCGAAGUUCUGCCCCCCGA
Molecule: ribosomal RNA, 695 nt
Filed under: uncultured bacterium
Lineage: Bacteria
Description: partial 16S ribosomal RNA
Rfam family: Bacterial small subunit ribosomal RNA
Source: RNAcentral